GAUUUUGCUCCUGGACUGCUCAUUUUGUGCUGGAAAUAAGUUAAUCACUCCUCAUCUAAAAAUAAAAGUAUAUUGGAUACACAGGCAAAAUCUAGAAGACAGAGUGAAUGAAUAGCAAGAAAAAUAUAGAAAAGGAUAUAACUAGUAGUGCACUUGAUGUUAGAACAUUAGAAUACAAUAUAGAUGCUAAAUGGAAUGAAGUGAAAGUGGUGAAAUGCAUCAGGUGCAGAAACAAAGGGACUAUUGCAGAGUCAACUGAGAUAAUUAAAACAUGUAAAAAUUGUUAUAUUGUCAAUAAUAAUGACCCAAGUUCUCUUUCUUACUCAGGGAAGUGAUCAGUAAAUAAUUUAUAAAAUAGGCUAAGCAAAGCUUCGUUGAGUUUUAGUUUCUCCAUAAUGCUUAUCAUGAUAAUGUCUGAUAGGAAUUAUAGUUUAAUGUUUAUUUUUUUUUAAUCUACCCC
RNAcentral lists this long non-coding RNA (460 nucleotides) under Androctonus crassicauda. The record is from RNAcentral. Lineage: Eukaryota; Metazoa; Arthropoda; Arachnida; Scorpiones; Buthidae.